CCUACGGGAGGCAGCAGUGGGGAAUAUUGCACAAUGGGGGAAACCCUGAUGCAGCGACGCCGCGUGAGUGAAGAAGUAUUUCGGUACGUAAAGCUCUAUCAGCAGGGAAGACAAUGACGGUACCUGACUAAGAAGCCCCGGCUAACUACGUGCCAUCCGCCGCUGUAAUACGGAGGCUGCGAGCGUUAUCCGGAUUUAUGGGGUUUAAAGGGUGCGCAGGCGGAGGUGCCAGUCAGCGGUCAAAUUGCGGGGCUCAACCCCGUACUGCCGUUGAAACUGCAUCCCUUGAGUGCGCGAGAAGUAUGCGGAAUGCGUGGUGUAGCGGUGAAAUGCAUAGAUAUCACGCAGAACUCCGAUUGCGAAGGCAGCAUACCGGCGCGCAACUGACGCUCAUGCACGAAAGCGUGGGUAUCGAACAGGAGUAGAUACCCGACUAGUC
This 439-nucleotide ribosomal RNA is filed under the name uncultured bacterium. RNAcentral describes it as "partial 16S ribosomal RNA". It matches the Rfam family "Bacterial small subunit ribosomal RNA", at positions 338 to 795 of the family's 1533-position model. The record is from RNAcentral.